UUGGUUACCAAACCGUGAACGGCUUUUGGCAUAUAUAUAUAUGCUCUCCGUUCGAUUGGGGGUCGCGUAGCAUUGCAUGUUGUGCACAUUUACUACGCGUCUCUCGAAUUGCAGCACGUUCCGCUCUCCGCACGAACAAGGCCUAAAGUUGCCUUUGCCCUUGCAAGUGCAUUAGGUAGAGCCUUGCGAACGUUUCUAACCAUUUUCAUUCUUAACCU
This 218-nucleotide ribosomal RNA is filed under the name Muriceopsis bayeri. RNAcentral's name for it is "partial internal transcribed spacer 2". Lineage: Eukaryota; Metazoa; Cnidaria; Anthozoa; Malacalcyonacea; Pterogorgiidae. The record is from RNAcentral.